Molecule: ribosomal RNA, 550 nt
Filed under: Limnonectes doriae (Doria's frog)
Lineage: Eukaryota; Metazoa; Chordata; Amphibia; Anura; Dicroglossidae
Description: partial 16S ribosomal RNA
Rfam family: Bacterial large subunit ribosomal RNA
Source: RNAcentral
CGCCUCUUGAAUCUCAUAAGAGGUCCAGCCUGCCCAGUGACACAAUUAAACGGCCGCGGUACCCUGACCGUGCGAAGGUAGCAUAAUCACUUGUUCUCUAAAUAAGGACUUGUAUCAACGGCAUCACGAGGGUUAUACUGUCUCCUCUUUUUAAUCAGUGAAACUGACUUUCCCGUGAAGAGGCGGGAAUAAAAAUACAAGACGAGAAGACCCCAUGGAGCUUUAAACCCAAUAGUAACCUCUAUUUACUACUACUACUUAAUUAAGAAGGUCUGUCUACUGGUUUUAGGUUGGGGUGACCCUGGAGUAAAACUUAGCCUCCGUGACGAAUAGAACUUAUUCUAAUCCCAGAGCUACCGCUCUACGAAUCAAAAUUUUGACGUAAACUGAUCCGCCUAGCGAUCAACGAACCAAGUUACCCUGGGGAUAACAGCGCAAUCCAUUUCAAGAGCCCCUAUCGACAAAUGGGUUUACGACCUCGAUGUUGGAUCAGGGUAUCCCAGUGGUGCAGCCGCUACUAAAGGUUUGUUUGUUCAACAAUUAAAACCCU